GCUUUUGUGAUUGUGUUGCCGGUGAACUUUAGUUUGGUAACAGUCGAAACAUAUAAAAUUAAUGACAGCUGAUCCAAAAUACCAGGUAUCAAGUAGAAAUACUUUACACCUACGUUACGAAAAAGAAUAAGAACAGGUGGUAUGACUACCUAUCCACAAGAGUCCAAAUGACACAGACACUAACAACUAUAGGUCAGCGUUCGACCUGUAACAAUGAGAAAAAAACUCUUUCAACACAGCUAGCUAUUAAAGGCCUUGAAACUAGAAAAGUUAAACAAUUCAAGCGACAAAACUAACAGCCUAAUUUGUGUAAAAUAUAAUAGCAAUCUGUUUAUCUAAUGAUUGUCAAAUACAUUUUCUUUUAAGUAAACGAAUAUCUCAUUCAUGUGCAUUUACAUUUCUGACUUGUACGUCAUACAUUCACGAAAUUGAUGAGCUCAAACUUCAUUUAUGCAUCUUUAAAUCAAAUGAAAGCAAACAUUGACAAAAACUUAACCAAAAGCAUUGAAUUUAA
This 514-nucleotide long non-coding RNA is filed under the name Mytilus galloprovincialis (Mediterranean mussel). Lineage: Eukaryota; Metazoa; Mollusca; Bivalvia; Mytilida; Mytilidae. The record is from RNAcentral.